RNAcentral lists this ribosomal RNA (504 nucleotides) under uncultured bacterium. RNAcentral describes it as "partial 16S ribosomal RNA". It matches the Rfam family "Bacterial small subunit ribosomal RNA", at positions 29 to 507 of the family's 1533-position model. The record is from RNAcentral.
ACGAACGCUGGCGGCGUGCCUAAUACAUGCAAGUAGAACGCACAGUUUAUACCGUAGCUUGCUACACCAUAAACUGUGAGUUGCGAACGGGUGGGUAACGCGUAGGUAACCUGCCUGGUAGCGGGGGAUAACUAUUGGAAACGAUAGCUAAUACCGCAUAAUAUUGAUUAUUGCAUGAUAAUUGAUUGAAAGAUGCUAUUGCAUCACUACCAGAUGGACCUGCGUUGUAUUAGCUAGUAGGUGAGGUAACGGCUCACCUAGGCGACGAUACAUAGCCGACCUGAGAGGGUGAUCGGCCACACUGGGACUGAGACACGGCCCAGACUCCUACGGGAGGCAGCAGUAGGGAAUCUUCGGCAAUGGACGAAAGUCUGACCGAGCAACGCCGCGUGAGUGAAGAAGGUUUUCGGAUCGUAAAGCUCUGUUGUAAGAGAAGAACGGGUGUGAGAGUGGAAAGUUCACACUGUGACGGUAUCUUACCAGAAAGGGACGGCUAACUACGUG